ACCAAACCCUCACUCAUAAAUUCAAUCUUCCAUAACUUUUGAUCCGAAGUUCCAAUUGACGAGCCGUUUGCGACCACGUGACCGCAGCGUCGAGCUCUACAAAGCCCAGUCCUUUAUUAGUGUUUAGGUUCGAAUUAACUUGCGGGUAUUAUCGAGUUUAGUUCAUUAGAGCUAUGGGUCAGAUUAAAAUUGGUUGUUGACUGGAGUUGAUUUGAAAAUUUGGGAAGCUUGUGAUCAAGCCUUGAAGGCUGGGUUUUGCUUGGAAAGAAGCUAGGAUUUCAAAGCUUGGGGUGUGGUAUAUAAGAGAGGUGUUUCAGGUUUAUUGAAAAAUUGGUCAAGAUGCAGGACGUGAAGCAUCUUGCUAAGGCAUAUUGAAAGCUUCUGAUAGCAGAGAUCCUUGUCUUUGGGACU
This is a long non-coding RNA of Arachis duranensis, 411 nucleotides long. RefSeq lists it as uncharacterized. The transcript is spliced from 4 exons. The record is from RefSeq and is a predicted model, not a curated record. Lineage: Eukaryota; Viridiplantae; Streptophyta; Magnoliopsida; Fabales; Fabaceae.